UAUUGCACAAUGGGCGCAAGCCUGAUGCAGCCCUGCCGCGUGUGUGAAGAAGGCCUUCGGGUUGUAAAGCACUUUCAGUAAGGAGGAAAGGGUAGUCUUUAAUAGAGGUUAUCUGUGACGUUACUUACAGAAGAAGCACCGGCUAACUCCGUGCCAGCAGCCGCGGUAAUACGGAGGGUGCGAGCGUUAAUCGGAAUUACUGGGCGUAAAGCGUACGCAGGCGGUUUGUUAAGCGAGAUGUGAAAGCCCCGGGCUCAACCUGGGAACUGCAUUUCGAACUGGCAAACUAGAGUGUGAUAGAGGGUGGUAGAAUUUCAGGUGUAGCGGUGAAAUGCGUAGAGACCUGAAGGAAUACCGAUGGCGAAGGCAGCCACCUGGGUCAACACUGACGCUCAGACGAA
Molecule: ribosomal RNA, 401 nt
Filed under: uncultured bacterium
Lineage: Bacteria
Description: bacterial SSU rRNA
Rfam family: Bacterial small subunit ribosomal RNA
Source: RNAcentral